GAUGAACGCUGGCGGCGUGCCUAAUACAUGCAAGUCGAGCGAACGGACGAGACGCUUGCUUUUCUGAUGUUAGCGGCGGACGGGUGAGUAACACGUGGAUAACCUACCUAUAAGACUGGGAUAACUUCGGGAAGCCGGAGCUACUACCGGAUAAUAUUUUGAACCGCAUGGUUCAAAAGUGUAAGACGGUCUUGCUGUCACUUAUAGAUGGAUCCGCGCUGCAUUAGCUAGUUGGUAAGGUAACGGCUUACCAAGGCAACGAUGCAUAGCCGACCUGAGAGGGUGAUCGGCCACACUGGAACUGAGACGCGGUCCAGACUCCUACGGGAGGCAGCAGUAGGGAAGCUACGGCAAAGGGCGGAAGCCUGACGGAGCAACGCCGCGCGAGUGAUGAAGGUCUGCGGAUCGUAAAAAUCUGUUAGGAGGGAAGAACAUAUGUGUAAGUAACUGUGCACAUCUUGACGGUACCUAAUCAGAAAGCCACGGCUAACUACGUG
This 497-nucleotide ribosomal RNA is filed under the name uncultured bacterium. RNAcentral's name for it is "partial 16S ribosomal RNA". It matches the Rfam family "Bacterial small subunit ribosomal RNA", at positions 28 to 507 of the family's 1533-position model. The record is from RNAcentral.